GUUAAUGUAGCUUAAAAUACCAAAGCAAAGCACUGAAAAUGCUUAGACGGGUUAACUCAACCCCAUAAACA
RNAcentral lists this transfer RNA (71 nucleotides) under Propithecus edwardsi (Milne-Edwards sifaka). RNAcentral describes it as "tRNA-Phe". It matches the Rfam family "tRNA". Rfam says of the family: Transfer RNA (tRNA) molecules are approximately 80 nucleotides in length. Their secondary structure includes four short double-helical elements and three loops (D, anti-codon, and T loops). The record is from RNAcentral. Lineage: Eukaryota; Metazoa; Chordata; Mammalia; Primates; Indriidae.